Molecule: long non-coding RNA, 1533 nt
Filed under: Mytilus galloprovincialis (Mediterranean mussel)
Lineage: Eukaryota; Metazoa; Mollusca; Bivalvia; Mytilida; Mytilidae
Source: RNAcentral
AAGUCAAAAUCUGGAUAAGCUGAGGUUCAAGGUCCUACCUUCACAGAUUUUCAUAUUUUGCUGAAUGAAUUUAAAGUUUAUAUCAUGGACGGCAGAGAAAGAAAAAACAACUUUUCAAUUUUCCUGCUUCUGAAGGAUAAAUGUUAAACAUCUUGUUUUUGGUAAGUUUUAUGCUCUGUUUCAAUAGUGUUUGUGCAUUCAUAUGACAAGUCCUUCCUCUGAAUUAUAUCCUCUUUAAGUUUUUGGUGAGUGUUCCCCAUGAAUUUCAGUAAGUAACUUGUGGAUUUACAUGUAUAUACUCAAAAUUUAGUACUAAUAUUAAUGGGAUUUUAGCAUGACAUCCUGUCAAAUGCUCGUUAAUUAUGUUUAUGUUGUACACGUACAUUCUACCCAAUUUUAAGAAGUUGGUCAAGUUUAUUAGAAACAAAAUAUGUACAUUACAGAUCAACAUAACUGAAAUCUUUAAUAGAUUUAAACAAAAAGUUUAAUUGCAGUUAAAAUAAAAACACAUGUUUGAUCGAGCUGGUACUAGACCGUACACAUAUACUCAAAUAUUCUGACUGUAUGCAUAUGAUCAGACUGUAAGAGUAUACUUAUAUGUUCCGAACCGUAAACGUAUGAUCCAAAUACUGAUAUGGUCUGGAACAUGUAUAAAUGUCUUAAAAUUACUAUCAAACAAUUUGGUAUUUGUGAACUUGGUAAUAAGUUAUUUGAUAGAACUAUAAUGUUUUGGGAUAUCAAAAUAAAAAAAAUAUGCCAUUUUUACUUUUAAUAAAGAAGAAGAUUAUUGAUGUACAUGAUGUAUGUAUAACUGUAUAUAAAAAUGAGACAGCAAGCUAACAACACAGAAAAAAUAAGGUUAAAACAAUAUAUAAUUUUUUGUAUCAAUGUUAUAAUUUCCAAUAUGUCCAAAGAGUUCAAGGUAUUUUUUUAUUGAAGUAAAACACAAGUUGAACUCUGUCAGAACUUCAAAAGCUUAAGGAAAUAUUGUUUCUGUUGUCUGCAUUUUGUAUAAUAUAUUGCAAAUUCUUGUAAACAAUGGAAUGUUAUUAUAAUUGCCUAAAGUUUUAACAUUGAUCUUUAUAUAUAUAAUAAUUAUAUUAUAUAUACAACUUGGGAAAAUACCCAAAUGAUAUAAAGAAAAAUAUAAUUGAUUGUUAUAAAGUAUUAUAAUAGGAAGAUGUGGUAUAUUGCUAAUUUGACAACUCUCCAACAGAGACCAAAGGAUGUAGGAGGUUAGCAACUGAUGACACUGGACAACCUUUAACAAUCAGCAAAAUCCAUACCGCAUAGCUAUUUUUAUUGAAAAUCAUAUUCUUUCAACAUGUUUGCAAACAAUUUUGUAUUAAUAGUAUACUUCAGAUUUUAUUGGUUCUUUUUCAGAAGGAUUGAAAUUCAUCACCUAAAAUAAAUGGAGAAAACAUAGAAACAAGAUCAGAAUAACUUCAAAGACAAAAGUUGGAUCAGCUAUUAUUUUCAUCACUCAGUCAAUGAUUUGAAGUUCUUUUAGAUACCAAAAGAUAUUGAAACCAC